AAGUUUUUUUUUUCAAAUUUGUCUAGGAGGUUUUCCUGUCUCUACCAGAAGAUUCCCUC
Molecule: small nuclear RNA, 59 nt
Filed under: Erinaceus europaeus (western European hedgehog)
Lineage: Eukaryota; Metazoa; Chordata; Mammalia; Eulipotyphla; Erinaceidae
Description: U7 small nuclear RNA (ENSEEUG00000022721.1)
Source: RNAcentral